AACAAAGCGAUGACGAAGAGAAGUAACAUGAAUUAUCGUUUACAGUGAGCGGGGAAUAGUGAGAACCCUGUAAAGUGAAUUCAUGUGAAUAACACUUCAUCAGCUUCAAUCUGAAAGUCAUAUGGGAUAUGACGAGUAGGUGCGACGUAGGCCGAACGUUAAAGCGGCAAACACUGAGGAGUGACUGUACAAAGGGGUAUAGUAAUUCAGGUGGUACCGCGGACAAUAAUGCUGUUCGCCCUGAAA
Molecule: non-coding RNA, 246 nt
Filed under: Acetivibrio thermocellus
Lineage: Bacteria; Bacillati; Bacillota; Clostridia; Acetivibrionales; Acetivibrionaceae
Description: Clostridium thermocellum T-box sequence
Rfam family: T-box leader
About the family: Uncharged tRNA acts as the effector for transcription antitermination of genes in the T-box leader family.
Source: RNAcentral